Molecule: ribosomal RNA, 560 nt
Filed under: uncultured bacterium
Lineage: Bacteria
Description: bacterial SSU rRNA
Rfam family: Bacterial small subunit ribosomal RNA
Source: RNAcentral
CCUACGGGAGGCAGCAGUGGGGAAUCUUGCACAAUGGAGGAAACUCUGAUGCAGCGAUGCCGCGUGAGUGAAGAAGGCCUUUGGGUUGUAAAGCUCUUUCGUCGGGGAAGAAAAUGACUGUACCCGAAUAAGAAGGUCCGGCUAACUUCGUGCCAGCAGCCGCGGUAAUACGGAGGGACCUAGCGUAGUUCGGAAUUACUGGGCUUAAAGAGUUCGUAGGUGGUUGAAAAAGUUGGUGGUGAAAUCCCAGAGCUUAACUCUGGAACUGCCAUCAAAACUUUUCAGCUAGAGUAUGAUAGAGGAAAGCAGAAUUUCUAGUGUAGAGGUGAAAUUCGUAGAUAUUAGAAAGAAUACCAAUUGCGAAGGCAGCUUUCUGGAUCAUUACUGACACUGAGGAACGAAAGCAUGGGUAGCGAAGAGGAUUAGAUACCCUCGUAGUCCAUGCCGUAAACGAUGUGUGUUAGACGUUGGAAAUUUAUUUUCAGUGUCGCAGGGAAACCGAUAAACACACCGCCUGGGGAGUACGACCGCAAGGUUAAAACUCAAAGGAAUUGACGGGG